AUACGGAGGGUCCAAGCGUUAUCCGGAAUCAUUGGGUUUAAAGGGUCCGCAGGCGGUCAAUUAAGUCAGAGGUGAAAGCCCAUCGCUCAACGAUGGAACUGCCUUUGAUACUGGUUGACUUGAGUUAUGCGGAAGUAGAUAGAAUAAGUAGUGUAGCGGUGAAAUGCAUGGAUAUUACUUAGAAUACCGAUUGCGAAGGCAGUCUACUACGUAUAUACUGACGCUGAGGGACGAAAGCGUGGGGAGCGAACAGAAUUAGAAACCCUAGUAGUCC
Molecule: ribosomal RNA, 274 nt
Filed under: uncultured bacterium
Lineage: Bacteria
Description: partial 16S ribosomal RNA
Rfam family: Bacterial small subunit ribosomal RNA
Source: RNAcentral